GUUAAGUGACUAAGCGUACACGGUGGAUGCCUUGGCAGUCAGAGGCGAUGAAGGACGUAGUAACUUGCGAUAAGCGUAGAUGAGGCAGUAACAGCCACUUGAGUCUACGAUUUCCGAAUGGGGAAACCCACUGGCAUAAGCCAGUAUCAUUGAGUGAAUACAUAGCUCAAUGAAGCGAACCGGGAGAACUGAAACAUCUAAGUACCCCGAGGAAAAGAAAUCAACCGAGAUUCCGAAAGUAGCGGCGAGCGAAAUUGGAUUAGCCCUUAAGCUUUACAUGUGUUAGACGAACGGUCUGGAAAGUCCGACGAUACAGGGUGAUAGUCCCGUAGUUGACGAUGCAUGUUCAGUGAAAUCGAGUAGGGCGGGACACGUGUUAUCCUGUCUGAAUAUGGGGGGACCAUCCUCCAAGGCUAAAUACUCCUGACUGACCGAUAGUGAACCAGUACCGUGAGGGAAAGGCGAAAAGAACCCCUGUGAGGGGAGUGAAAUAGAACCUGAAACCGUGUACGUACAAGCAGUAGGAGCACCUUCGUGGUGUGACUGCGUACCUUUUGUAUAAUGGGUCAGCGACUUAUAUUCAGUGGCAAGGUUAACCAUCUAGGGGAGCCGUAGGGAAACCGAGUCUUAACUGGGCGCCAUAGUCUCUGGAUAUAGACCCGAAACCGAGUGAUCUAGCCAUGGGCAGGUUGAAGGUUGAGUAACAUCAACUGGAGGACCGAACCGACUAAUGUUGAAAAAUUAGCGGAUGACUUGUGGCUAGGGGUGAAAGGCCAAUCAAACUCGGAGAUAGCUGGUUCUCCCCGAAAGCUAUUUAGGUAGCGCCUCGGACGAAUACUACUGGGGGUAGAGCACUGUUAAGGCUAGGGGGUCAUCCCGACUUACCAACCCUUUGCAAACUCCGAAUACCAGUAAGUACUAUCCGGGAGACACACGGCGGGUGCUAACGUCCGUCGUGGAGAGGGAAACAACCCAGACCGCCAGCUAAGGUCCCAAAUUACAGCUAAGUGGGAAACGAUGUGGGAAGGCUUAGACAGCUAGGAUGUUGGCUUAGAAGCAGCCAUCAUUUAAAGAAAGCGUAAUAGCUCACUAGUCGAGUCGGCCUGCGCGGAAGAUGUAACGGGGCUAAGUUGUAAACCGAAGCUGCGGCAAUGUUCUAUGAACAUUGGGUAGGGGAGCGUUCUGUAAGCCGUUGAAGGUGUGUUGUAAAGCAUGCUGGAGGUAUCAGAAGUGCGAAUGCUGACAUGAGUAACGACAAGGGGGGUGAAAAACCUCCCCGCCGGAAGACCAAGGGUUCCUGUCCAACGUUAAUCGGGGCAGGGUAAGUCGACCCCUAAGGCGAGGCUGAAAAGCGUAGUCGAUGGGAAACGGGUUAAUAUUCCCGUACUUCUUACAAUUGCGAUGGGGGGACGGAGAAGGCUAGGUGGGCCUGGCGACGGUUGUCCAGGUUCAAGUGCGUAGGCU
RNAcentral lists this ribosomal RNA (1464 nucleotides) under Vibrio vulnificus. Its description in RNAcentral is "partial 23S ribosomal RNA". It matches the Rfam family "Bacterial large subunit ribosomal RNA", at positions 1 to 1526 of the family's 2925-position model. Lineage: Bacteria; Pseudomonadati; Pseudomonadota; Gammaproteobacteria; Vibrionales; Vibrionaceae. The record is from RNAcentral.